CAGUCGCCACGGUAAUACAGAGGGUGCGAGCGUUAAUCGGAUUUACUGGGCGUAAAGCGUGCGUAGGCGGCUUCUUAAGUCGGAUGUGAAAUCCCUGAGCUUAACUUAGGAAUUGCAUUCGAUACUGGGAAGCUAGAGUAUGGGAGAGGAUGGUAGAAUUCCAGGUGUAGCGGUGAAAUGCGUAGAGAUCUGGAGGAAUACCGAUGGCGAAGGCAGCCAUCUGGCCUAAUACUGACGCUGAGGUACGAAAGCAUGGGGAGCAAACAGGAUUAGAUACCCCUGUAGUCCCUGUCUCUUAUAA
This 301-nucleotide ribosomal RNA is filed under the name uncultured bacterium. Its description in RNAcentral is "partial 16S ribosomal RNA". It matches the Rfam family "Bacterial small subunit ribosomal RNA", at positions 509 to 809 of the family's 1533-position model. The record is from RNAcentral.